AGAGUUUGAUCAUGGCUCAGAUUGAACGCUGGCGGCAUGCCUUACACAUGCAAGUCGAACGGCAGCGCGGGAGCAAUCCUGGCGGCGAGUGGCGAACGGGUGAGUAAUAUAUCGGAACGUGCCUUAGAGUGGGGGAUAACUAGUCGAAAGACUAGCUAAUACCGCAUACGACCUACGGGUGAAAGUGGGGGAUCGCAAGACCUCAUGCUCUUAGAGCGGCCGAUAUCUGAUUAGCUAGUUGGUGGGGUAAAAGCCUACCAAGGCGACGAUCAGUAGCUGGUCUGAGAGGACGACCAGCCACACUGGGACUGAGACACGGCCCAGACUCCUACGGGA
This 336-nucleotide ribosomal RNA is filed under the name uncultured Pseudomonadota bacterium. Its description in RNAcentral is "bacterial SSU rRNA". It matches the Rfam family "Bacterial small subunit ribosomal RNA", at positions 8 to 346 of the family's 1533-position model. Lineage: Bacteria; Pseudomonadati; Pseudomonadota. The record is from RNAcentral.